Molecule: non-coding RNA, 72 nt
Organism: Aedes albopictus (Asian tiger mosquito)
Lineage: Eukaryota; Metazoa; Arthropoda; Insecta; Diptera; Culicidae
Source: Rfam
GGCUCAGUAGCUUAGUUAAUAAAGCACUUGUCUAGCGAAUAAGGGUCGUGAGUUCAAAUCUCACCUGAGCUG